CAUACAGGUGUGUAGGUAUGUAUGUAUGUAUGUAUGUAUGUAUGUGUGUGUGUGUGUGUGUGUGUGUGUGUGUGUGUGUGUGUGGUUCUCUAUAUAAGACCGACACUACCACCACCACCACCAUAUCCAAGAUGGCGGCUACCUACUUUGUCUUCCUCCUGCUGGCUGCUGGUGCUACAGGAGCGGCGGGGCAGGGCAGCAUGAACAACUGCCUUCCUAACUGCACCAAUAACGCCCCGGGGGACAAGGUGCCGGACCCUCAGGACUGCAGGAAGUUCUACACCUGUCUUGCCACUGACGGCCCAAGCGAUGUUUCCUUCUUCUGUUCGGAAGGUGAAAGAUUUGACUCAGUUUCAAGGGAGUGCCUGGCGGAGGGGGCUGUCUGCGGUCUAUGCAUGUCGAAGUGUAAAUACGAUUGCGUUAUAGCGGAAGAUUACGCUGCAGUACGUGGUGAUUGUGGGAAAAUGACCUUGUGUGAGUUCAACCCGCCUCUGACCAUUGACUGUGGACCCGCAACACCCUACUUUGACGGGGAAAGCUGCCAGGAUGACCACAGCAAAUGUUGUGAAGACUGCAUUGUGUUCUGUCAAGAGCCUAAUAUUGAGACAGCAGACCCAACCAGCUGUAAGCAUUUCUACUUCUGCUCUGAGAUCGGAUUUCCCCUCACAGACGACCGAUACGAGUGUCCGGAGGAUGAAAAUUUUGAUGUAGAAGCUUCCAUGUGUGUUAGGGGCGCCCCGUGUUCCCAGCCUUGCGCUCCUACCACGCCUGCUCCUUCUACUACUACUACAUCUACCACGACCCUAGCAACGACAACAACUACCGGGUCAUAGACAGCCUGACCUCUUGUAUUGACCUUUUAAGCAGUACUAGUAUGGCGGUUUGCAAGGGUGGUUUAAAAGGUACUAGUGAAAGUUGGGUUUUCAAAGGUGGUUUAAGAAGUUGAAGAAGUUUAACACAUCUUUAACAGGCUGUAGUGGAAGUUACUGGGGUUUUCAAGGCUCCAGGGAUAGUUUAACAGGCUGUAGUGGAAGUUACUGGGGUUUUCAAGGUUCCAGGGAUAGUUUAACAGGCUGUAGUGGAAGUUACUGGGGCUUUCAAGGUUCCAGGGAUAGUUUAACAGGCUGCAUUGGAAGUUACUGGGGUUUCCAAGGUUCCAGGGAUAGUUUAACAGGCUGUAGUGGAAGUUACUGGGGUUUUCAAGGUUCCAGGGAUAGUUUAACAGGCUGUAGUGGAAGUUACUGGGGUUUUCAAGGUUCCAGGGAUAGUUUAACAGGCUGCAGUGGAAGUUACUGGGGUUUUCAAGGUUCCAGGGAUAGUUUAACAGGCUGUAGUGGAAGUUACUGGGGUUUUCAAGGUUCCAGGGAUAGUUUAACAGGCUGGAGUGGAAGUUACUGGGGUUUUCAAGGUUCCAGGGAUAGUUUGACACCGUUUCUACAAUGCCACCUUUGAAAACUUUAAAAAUAACUUUCACUCUUCCUUCCUUCCUUCCUUCCUUCCUCCCUUCCUCCCUUUCUCCCUUUUUCAUUUCACCCCCAGACAAACAUAUUGAAAAGUGAAGUAUUUAAAUAAAGACCUUUAUGAACAUAGAACAAAA
Scylla paramamosain (green mud crab) is the source of this 1597-nucleotide long non-coding RNA. RefSeq lists it as uncharacterized. The transcript has 2 exons. NCBI's taxonomy places the organism in Eukaryota, Metazoa, Arthropoda, Malacostraca, Decapoda, Portunidae. The record is from RefSeq and is a predicted model, not a curated record.